AUACUCUAAUCUGGAAAGUACUACUAAGGGGCACCCCUCUAUUUCAAACGCCCUGAGGGGCUCUGGGCUACCCCAACUGCAGACCUUCCUGCAUUUUCCUACCCUGCCCAGCCUCCUGCCACCCGGACUUUAGCCCAGGGACACCCGAGGUGGACUUCGACCCUACAGAGUAGGAGGCAAUAAUCUGUGCUGCUCUAAGUCACCAACUUUGGGGCGAUUUCUUACAGCAGCCACAGAAAACGGACACAGCUGGUCACCAAGAAAUAAACAACACGUCCAGCCCGGACUGCCUAUCAAGAAAGCUAUAAAAAUGAGUCAUCCGAUUACAGGGCCCCUCAAGGCAAGAAGAGAGGACAGAAAAUGCUGUUUCAUGAUGCUGAGGAAAGGCCAAAACCAUCAUUUCCAUCUAGAGGAUGGACUGGAUAACCAUGGACCCCCAGAAGCACCUGCCCACACAGUCCUCCGGUUAUAGAUCAGCAUUAACAAACUCAUCCUCUGGAGCACAUGUGUCCACUACGGGGGUCCAGUCUGUCCCCAACGCCACGGUGCCAUCUAAAACACACCAGACCAACAGUGAGUCCUCUGGUGCUUGGUCUGGGAGAUGAUGCCUUAGGAGAUGGGGAAAGGACUCUGACCAAUGCCUCCUGAGGGUGGGAGAGGACUGGAAAGGGCAGGGAACGCGGCCCCGUGUGCAGCUCUGUCCAGAAUGCUCAAUGAUAAGGGGUCAGGGGCCGCACUGGUGUGUGGCACAGGGCAGCCAUGAAGAGACAGAACAGGUCACCGAUUCCCUGGAGACGGAGGGAUACAGACAGGUAGCACGGAGGCUCGGCAGGGGCUCAACCACAUUCUAAAGAUACGUGAGAACCUGGGAGGUGUAGCAAAGACUAGCAGGCAGAUGGGAACGGAGACAGGGGAGACCUGGGUUGCAAAGCCUCUUUCUGUCUUCUUGUCUAUUUUCCUCUUCUUCCCUUUCUCCCAGGGGGAGAGGGCUGAGGACUGAGGGGGGCUUGGUCCAGGAGGCUUCACCGAGGGCAUCCUCGGUAGCGGGCUCCAAUCCUGAGGGCACGGGGUGGGAUGCCAGUUACAGGGGAAGCCCAGCAGGAAAAGGUCCAAGCUCAGACACGGAGCAGAGCACACGUGCCCCAGGAAUGUGGCAGGAGUCUGGGCACCAGAUCUGGGGUCCAAGAGCAGAGGGGGGGCAGCAUGCAGCAAGUCGGACUUGUCGCUGGUCACUUAAGCCACAAAAUUACAAUUAUUUCUUAUUCAGCUGGGCCUAGGACUAUAGAUACAUAGUAGCUGCUCAAUAAACGUUUUUCUGAAUAAAA
This is a long non-coding RNA of Choloepus didactylus (southern two-toed sloth), 1325 nucleotides long. RefSeq lists it as uncharacterized. The record is from RefSeq and is a predicted model, not a curated record. NCBI's taxonomy places the organism in Eukaryota, Metazoa, Chordata, Mammalia, Pilosa, Megalonychidae. The transcript is spliced from 2 exons.